CUAUGAUGCUGUCACAAGAGCGUCCCUGAAAGCACACCCCAAGGCUACCUACCAAGAGGUAGAUGACAAAAUAGCAGACGCUCUCAAACAUGCACCAGCUCGGCUCAAGAGUAAGAGAAAGGAGCGGGUCGAGGAAGAGACCGUGGAUGAGGAUGGAGCAG
Coregonus clupeaformis (lake whitefish) is the source of this 161-nucleotide long non-coding RNA. RefSeq lists it as uncharacterized. The record is from RefSeq and is a predicted model, not a curated record. Lineage: Eukaryota; Metazoa; Chordata; Actinopteri; Salmoniformes; Salmonidae. The transcript has 3 exons.